Labeo rohita (rohu) is the source of this 807-nucleotide non-coding RNA. The record is from the annotation of a RefSeq genome assembly. NCBI's taxonomy places the organism in Eukaryota, Metazoa, Chordata, Actinopteri, Cypriniformes, Cyprinidae.
GCUCCAGGCUUAAAUCACACUGUUCCAGUCAAGAAAAAGCACAUCUGAGUUUGUCAUUUCAUUCAAUCAUGCUGCUCUGUGCAGUUGUAAUAUUUUCAGUACUUGCAGGAGACUCUCUUGGUGAUCUAAUAACAUCUCAUGGUUCUGACAAACAAGCUGAAGAUGGUAACAGUGUUACUCUCUCCUGCAACUACAGUGGUACUGUGUAUAAUCUACUGUGGUACCGUCAGUAUCAAAAAUCCAAACCAGAACUCCUUCUCUACAUGACUGAAUCUGGAGAUCCAGUUAAAGAAGAUCCAUCAGCAGACUGGUUAUCUGCUAAAGUUGACAAACUCACAAAGCACAUGGAACUGGAAAUCAGCCCUGCUAAAGUAUCAGACUCUGCACUGUAUUACUGUGCCCUGCAGCCCACAGUGACAGGAAACUCUUUUCCUCUGCACAAAAUCUUUCUGUAUAUUAGUCAUGCUUUUCAUUGAUGCUUAACAAGCACAUGUAUUCUACAUUAUGUAUUAUUUCUGUGACUGAAUUAUCCAUCAGCAACACAAGCCUCUCUUAAUAAAUCUAUAAGGAUCAAUACAACACAUAUUUACAUAGAUAGGUGGAGCUUAAUGUGUAAUAGAGCAGAAGAGCUCAAAGAGGCUUGACACAUCUACUUAUAGGUCAUUAAAUUCAAACUAGAUACAACAAUGAUCAUCAUCUGCUCUGUUUUAACAUUUGUCUUGAGUUAUGGUAAGCCACAGACUUUUGACACCUUUUAUUAAUUGUAUAUUAAUGUAAAGCUUUAUGAUUUUGAUAACACUGGAUUGC